This 900-nucleotide ribosomal RNA is filed under the name Bacillus subtilis. Its description in RNAcentral is "bacterial SSU rRNA". It matches the Rfam family "Bacterial small subunit ribosomal RNA", at positions 60 to 948 of the family's 1533-position model. Lineage: Bacteria; Bacillati; Bacillota; Bacilli; Caryophanales; Bacillaceae. The record is from RNAcentral.
AGUCGAGCGGACAGAUGGGAGCUUGCUCCCUGAUGUUAGCGGCGGACGGGUGAGUAACACGUGGGUAACCUGCCUGUAAGACUGGGAUAACUCCGGGAAACCGGGGCUAAUACCGGAUGGUUGUUUGAACCGCAUGGUUCAAACAUAAAAGGUGGCUUCGGCUACCACUUACAGAUGGACCCGCGGCGCAUUAGCUAGUUGGUGAGGUAACGGCUCACCAAGGCGACGAUGCGUAGCCGACCUGAGAGGGUGAUCGGCCACACUGGGACUGAGACACGGCCCAGACUCCUACGGGAGGCAGCAGUAGGGAAUCUUCCGCAAUGGACGAAAGUCUGACGGAGCAACGCCGCGUGAGUGAUGAAGGUUUUCGGAUCGUAAAGCUCUGUUGUUAGGGAAGAACAAGUACCGUUCGAAUAGGGCGGUACCUUGACGGUACCUAACCAGAAAGCCACGGCUAACUACGUGCCAGCAGCCGCGGUAAUACGUAGGUGGCAAGCGUUGUCCGGAAUUAUUGGGCGUAAAGGGCUCGCAGGCGGUUUCUUAAGUCUGAUGUGAAAGCCCCCGGCUCAACCGGGGAGGGUCAUUGGAAACUGGGGAACUUGAGUGCAGAAGAGGAGAGUGGAAUUCCACGUGUAGCGGUGAAAUGCGUAGAGAUGUGGAGGAACACCAGUGGCGAAAGCGACUCUCUGGUCUGUAACUGACGCUAGGAGCGAAAGCGUGGGGAGCGAACAGGAUUAGAUACCCUGGUAGUCCACGCCGUAACGAUGAGUGCUAAGUGUUAGGGGUUUCCGCCCCUUAGUGCUGCAGCUAACGCAUUAAGCACUCCGCCUGGGGAGUACGGUCGCAGACUGAACUCAAGGAAUUGACGGGGGCCCGCACAAGCGUGGAGCAUGUGGUUUA